Molecule: long non-coding RNA, 806 nt
Organism: Platichthys flesus (European flounder)
Lineage: Eukaryota; Metazoa; Chordata; Actinopteri; Pleuronectiformes; Pleuronectidae
Exons: 3
Source: RefSeq, a predicted model, not a curated record
AGCUGCCUUGGAAUCACUCCUUGUCAUUAGUGAGUUCUACUCAAACAGUUCUGCUAUAUACUUCCACUUUGUUUGGUGUUGUAUUCAGAGCUUUUUAUAAACAGUCUAUGGUGCGGAGGAUUCUCAUGAAAUUAAACUGAAAUUACUUUAUUACUUGUCAUUUGUGUGGCUUUGAUUUGAUUUUAAAUUAUACUUUUUUAACUUUUUUAAACAUUGCCGAUUUGCUAUUUCCGAAGACUGUUGAGAAACUGACAUAAUCAUCCGUCCCAAUUUUACAACUUCUCAACGUAAUUCAGCUCAAUCAAAAGCAAAGCAGCAACAAAAUUAACAGGUUACUUUUACUUUUACUUCAAAAUAGCAGGAAGUGAUUCUAUGGAUGUUGCAGAAAUGACUCAGAUCAGCAACAGUAACUCCUGUGACAUCGUGAGAAAACAUAACAAAAACCUUCAAAUUUGACACUUCAUUUUCCUGGGCCAUCGAGAAUACACAUGCCAAGUGUGAAGUUGCAGGAGCUCUAUGUGGGAGCUGGCUGGAGGGACGUUCUCUGGACGGGCUCUGACUCCUGCACACAGCCCAUCUCUCUGGUCGAACAGAAGAGGAAGACAGCUCAUGGGAGACCUGGUUGAAGAGGAGGAGAAAAUAACAGGGAGUCCAAAACACUGAAAAGUCACUGCUGCAGGCACAAGAGGAAAUUACUGACAAUACGCUGUGUACCUGUGUGUUGGAGACAGUGCUGACUGAUGGAAGAGAGAGAGAGGAGACAUGGGAUGGGAGGAGUCCUGAGGAGGUGCUACACAUGCCCCCCC